ACUGGGGUAGCAAAGUCUGGAGAAUGCUAAAGGUCUAAGCCCUUUCAUCAGAGGCUCAAAUCCUCUCCCCAGCU
This 74-nucleotide transfer RNA is filed under the name Neosalanx taihuensis. Its description in RNAcentral is "tRNA-Leu". It matches the Rfam family "tRNA". Rfam says of the family: Transfer RNA (tRNA) molecules are approximately 80 nucleotides in length. Their secondary structure includes four short double-helical elements and three loops (D, anti-codon, and T loops). Further hydrogen bonds mediate the characteristic L-shaped molecular structure. tRNAs have two regions of fundamental functional importance: the anti-codon, which is responsible for specific mRNA codon recognition, and the 3' end, to which the tRNAs corresponding amino acid is attached (by aminoacyl-tRNA synthetases). tRNAs cope with the degeneracy of the genetic code in two manners: having more than one tRNA (with a specific anti-codon) for a particular amino acid; and 'wobble' base-pairing, i.e. permitting non-standard base-pairing at the 3rd anti-codon position. Lineage: Eukaryota; Metazoa; Chordata; Actinopteri; Osmeriformes; Salangidae. RNAcentral also lists the same sequence under 1 other name. The record is from RNAcentral.